GCAGUAGGGAUCUUCCGCAUGGACGAAAGUCUGACGGAGCGACGCCGCGUGAAUGAUGAAGAUCUUCGGAUCGUAAAAUUCUGUUGUUAGGGAUGAACAAGUGUGAGGGUAACUACUCACACCUUGACAGUACUUAACCAGAAAGCCCCGGCUAACUACGUGCCAGCAGCCGCGGUAAUACGUAGGGGGCGAGCGUUGUCCGGAAUUAUUGGGCGUAAAGGGUACGCAGGCGGUUCUUUAAGUCUGAUGUGAAAUCUCACAGCUUAACUGUGAGCGGUCAUUGGAAACUGAGGAACUUGAGUAUAGAAGAGAAGAGUGGAAUUCCAAGUGUAGCGGUGAAAUGCGUAGAUAUUUGGAGGAACACCAGUGGCGAAGGCGACUCUUUGGUCUAUUACUGACGCUGAGGUACGAAAGCAUGGGUAGCAAACAGGAUUAGAUACCCUGGUAGUCCAUGCCAUAAACGAUGAGUGCUAGGUGUUAAGGGGUUUCCGCCCCUUAGUGCUGUAAGUUAACGCGUUAAGCACUCCGCCUGGGGAGUACGGCCGCAAGGCUCAAACUCAAAAGAAUUGACGGGGCGUAG
Molecule: ribosomal RNA, 580 nt
Filed under: bacterium
Lineage: Bacteria
Description: bacterial SSU rRNA
Rfam family: Bacterial small subunit ribosomal RNA
Source: RNAcentral